The submitters of this non-coding RNA (58 nucleotides) gave its source as unclassified sequences. The record is from Rfam.
UGCCGGUGGAUUAGGCGUAAAACAGUCAGCACAUGAGAGCAACCUCGUAAAAAGCGUA